CUGCUGGUAGGAAUUCCUCAGGGCGUAUUACGGUUUUUCACCGAGGGGGUGGCUCGAAGCGAUUGCUGCGAAGAAUUGAUCUGAAACGAAGCACUUCCUCUAUGGGCAUUGUAGAGAGUAUAGAAUAUGACCCUAAUCGUUCUUCUCAGAUCGCUCCAGUACGAUGGAUCAAGGGGGGCUGCCAGAAAAAAAUGAACACGAUCGAGGAGUUAGCUCCGCCGCGCAAGAUCCUCGAACCUACCACGAACACCAUCAGCGGCCUCUUUUCGUUCUCUUUCCUGCCCGGGAAGGUGGAUCAAAGAAAGGUAGCUUGCUUCUCUCCUGGACUGAUGGCCGCUUAUGUAGUGGUCGGCCUUCCUACCGGAAUGCCUCCUUUGUCUUCGUAUAAGAGCGCCUUUGCUAGUAAGGGCGCAGGAAGCACAAAAACUUUAGUGAAGGACGUCUUCUUCUCUGCCUUCUCCUCUCCAAAGGCCAAGAGAGAGACUGCAUCCCUUGCCUUCGCUAGCUCUUUUGGUUUCCCAAGGAUAGCGGUAGCUGGGGUUCCUACCGCUUUCUUCGCUCCGCGAAUGAGACAGAAAGUGAGAGGAAAAAGCACGUUUUCUCUUUGCGAGGUCCGAAAGUGGAGAACGAAUAGCAUUCUUUUAUAGCGGUAUCACCACCAAAGACAACAAUCCCGACAUUCUCAUUCUCAAGAUUCAAGGCCAUUCCUUUCACACCGUUGGCAAAAAGAACCAUUUCCCCAGCUUGAAUCUCGUUCAAUCCAUAAACUUGUGCAAUCCCAUCUCCAACUGAGACCACUCGACCGAUCUCAUCCACUUGAAAAUUCGCGUAAAAGUUCCUAAUUCGACUUUCGAAUAGAUUCGUUAGUUCCGCAGCUCUGGGAGAUAAUUCCAUAAUUCCAUUUUUGAAUUCAGAGGCAAGGAGGAAUACCGCUUUAGAAAAAAAAAGUCAACCUUAUGAACUGAACGAAAGCACUAACUCCAGAGCUUGGGCAAAGUAGCGACUAUUCGUGCCCUGAUAGAUCAGGUCUAAAUAGAUCGCGUUCGCUCCUAAGAGAUUCUCUGCAGGAGUAUCAACAAUAAUAAAAAAAAAGAUUUAAAACUUUAGGUAUAUUUAUACCCGUUAGAGACGGAAUGUCAUCAUAAGGGUGUUGUUCCUUAUAUUUAGUAAAAAGAGAUGAGAGUAGGAAUUCCACUUCUUGCUUUUUCAUUUUAAACAGCAAGGUAGUUGUAGGAAUCUCUUUUUAAAAUAAAAAGAAUUUAUAACCCACUAGUCCGAGUCCGAGUGAGGAAAAGAUUAACGCCCCUAAAAUGCCUAGUGAAAUGGAGUCACCCAGUUGAGACAUGAUUAGAUUAAUUGAUUUCAACAAAAUGAUUCCCUCCAGACAGCUUCACUCCGUCAAGCCUCUAGGAGUAGUGAAGAACUAUAGAAAGUUGUGGUUGGUUGUUGACCAACAAAAGCAUGGGAGAAAACCAAGAACAGGGGGCAUAGAGAUCUCUUAUAUUUCAAAUUGAAUGAGAUUUUGCUUCUUUCUUUAUUUUUUGAUAUGCCGCUUCUUCGCCAGCAAGGAGCGAGAAAACAAAGUGAACAAAGAGUCAAGUCUUACUUAUUUAAGCUGGAAUGAAAAUCUUCUUCUCUUAAUGAUAUUUUAUAGAGUUUCGUUUCUUUUAUCUAUCUCCCUAUUCGAACGAGGGAAGUGAGCUGGCUAACUCCUGUAAGCAGCUUUCUUAUCAUAUACGUAUUUCUCUGUCAUUCUUCCUUCACUGCAAUUAUCUGUUUAUUAUCCGUGUUCUAUCGUAGCUAACCAACACUUGGAGGGAGCGAGCAAGGACCUGCUCGCGACUGUAGCUACCUCUGCAAGUGCAGCUAAAGCAGGGGCGCAAGCCCCGUUUUUAAAUAUCUUUGCUUUCUUUCCACAGUUCCGAGUAGGUCUGCAAGCCUAGGAGGAUCAUCGUACCUUUUGUAUUACAGUUGGUUAAUCAGCUACCCCUUCCCUUCUAUCUUCCUCUUCUUAACCUCGUCAUUCCGAGUUAGGUUUUCAAACCUAAGCAGGAUCACCCCUCUGUUGACUUUCUAUGGUUGAAGCAGGUACCUAUUCCUACUCUCUCGUCCAGAACAACUUCUCUGGCUUAGGGUCAGGGUUACUCACAUUCCUAGUUAUAAGAUUCCUAGUUCUGGGUCUGGGUAAGGGAAGGGUCUAGGUUCCUAACAUUCCUUCCCAACUCACCACUUAUCUCCCUAGUUCUUGAAUUCCAAGUUCUGGGAUUCUUUGAUUCUGAGUUCUGAGAUUGUUAGUUCUGGGACUGAGAGUGCCAGGCUGCGACCCAUCUUUGCAAAGCAAGAGCGAGGCCAAGAAGCAGCAGCGCUCGUACACUAGAAGGAUUUGGGUAUAGAGCCCGCUACGCGCCUUCAAAGGCCGGAAAGAGAUUUCGCUUUGGCUUUGGUUCGCUUGACCGUGUGACUAUGGUUCCUGUGGUCUUGUUCAAAUAGAAUCAGUCCCCUUUUUGGGUGCUAUCACAUAGCCCUAAGCAGGGCAAGGAAGGUAUCUAAUCGACAGCAGAGAGAUAUGCCAAUUAGAGGCACACUUACUAGAAACCUCUUUUCGUUAAAUCAUAUCAUAUGGUCAGACAGAAUUCUUAUCUUAGUGACUCUUAUCCAAUCUCUUUAGGGAGAUAAUGACUCAUGGGUAUGGGUCAGGACAGUAUGAACUUCGAGGGUUCAAUGCAGCUAGAGAGCUGCUGCACCUACGCUUCUCUGGCUGCAGGAGAUGGGGUCUCGAUAAAAGGAAAGGGAUGAGUUCAUUCUCUGGAAUGGUCUCGGAGAUGGCUUCUCUUCCCUCGGAUGGAGCAUCUGACCUUCCGUUGGAGAUGCAAUAUAUGGGGUUCCAUGGAUCCAUUAGUUGGUUCCGGUUCCUCGCUAGGGGAGAGAGCAGCCUUUCAGGAGGAACCUGUGACACCUGCACGGAUGCCUGGCUGGAACGAUUUGACAACGAAUUCAAUCUUGUCUUGGAUGCCCACCCUACAGGAUAAUAUCCAUUAGAAUCCCAUCCCCUAUCUUCUUUUGUUCUGCUUCUCGUAAUUUUCCUUGUUGCUUGGUUGGAUACCCUUCGCCCUGACCUUUUCGAAAGGAUUUCAAGCCAUAACACGCCCUACGUUCCUAUUAAGAUAAGAAGAAGGGGAUCUCGUAACGACCCCCCGAUCCUCACAUAGUAGUUUAAGGGAAGAGAAUGGAAUGACUCGCAAAACAGCGUAGCAAACUACAAGCGAACGAACGAGCAGAAACAAGCUAGUCAUGGGUGUGGUUCCUCUCCUUUCAGUCGAGUUGCUAAAGCACCUCGACGCUGCCAAGCUCUCUGUCUUGGUUAAUGGUUCUCCAAAAGGAUAUUUCUCAUGUUAGGCGGUGUGAGACAGGGGGAUCCUUUAUCCCCCGUUGUUAUUUUGUAUUGCGGAAGAUGUCUUAUCACGGGGUCUUACCGGGCUUAAUCACCUGGGCAUUCUUUCUUCAAUUACCGAGACCUGGACAUACAAAGAUCUAGGCAGCUCAUCUUCUUCUAACGAAGUCAGAUCUUUUUCCAUACCAUAACGUAUAUAGAAUCGAUUUUCUUUUCUGAUCGCUAGCCUGCCGGGCCGCCCCCGCGAUCAAACUAUCAAUCUCAUAAGAGAAGAAAUCUCUAUGCCCCCUUUUUCUUGGUUUUCUCCCAUGCUUUUGUUGGUCAACAAUCAAACCAACCACUAAUUCUUCCUUCACUACUAAUACAGGAAGAAGUCUUGUCUUCUUCUGUUCGGAAUCCAUUUUUUUUUAUCAAAAGAAAGACUCAAAAAUAAUAUAAAUAAUAAUAUAUAGAAUAUAGAAAGAAUUGCUUAAAUAACUCAGCGAUCUAAAAUCAUAGUCACGAUCUACUAAAAGUCAAGUUGAGCACCCGGACCAGAGGUGGCCGAGAAUCUUAUGUCAAAAGGACUAACGACGAUGAAAGAGGAGAAGGAGGAGUAGGAGGAGUCAGACGGAAUCAAAUGAUUACGAGAUAGACAAUGAGACCAGGGAGAGCAAGAGCACUUAGACAAUUCACUUUGAGUACAGGAAAGUCUGCUGGUAGGAAUUCCUCAGGGCGUAUUACGGUUUUUCACCGAGGGGGUGGCUCGAAGCGAUUGCUGCGAAGAAUUGAUCUGAAACGAAGCACUUCCUCUAUGGGCAUUGUAGAGAGUAUAGAAUAUGACCCUAAUCGUUCUUCUCAGAUCGCUCCAGUACGAUGGAUCAAGGGGGGCUGCCAGAAAAAAAUGAACACGAUCGAGGAGUUAGCUCCGCCGCGCAAGAUCCUCGAACCUACCACGAACACCAUCAGCGGCCUCUUUUCGUUCUCUUUCCUGCCCGGGAAGGUGGAUCAAAGAAAGGUAGCUUGCUUCUCUCCUGGACUGAUGGCCGCUUAUGUAGUGGUCGGC
RNAcentral lists this long non-coding RNA (4436 nucleotides) under Brassica napus (rape). Its description in RNAcentral is "long non-coding RNA (BNAP_LNC015567)". Lineage: Eukaryota; Viridiplantae; Streptophyta; Magnoliopsida; Brassicales; Brassicaceae. The record is from RNAcentral.